This 2306-nucleotide unclassified non-coding RNA is filed under the name Orussus abietinus. RNAcentral describes it as "glycogen synthase kinase-3 beta, transcript variant X5". The record is from RNAcentral. Lineage: Eukaryota; Metazoa; Arthropoda; Insecta; Hymenoptera; Orussidae.
ACGCGGAUCGGGUGGUGCCCUCGCUUCCUGGGUCGGAUCCACUGGGAAGGUCUCGAGAUACCUCGUUUUUCGGGAUAGUCGCGACGAGUUCUCGGGUCGCAUUUUACGAGACCUCGCUUCCCGAGGCGGCGUCGACGAAUCCCUCGUGUCUCUCGAGAGCGGAUUUCUCGUUUUCGUCGGAUUCCCCGCGUUCUCGAACUCGGUGGGCUCAGGUGUAGCGCAUUCUCCGAGACCCAAAGAAGGGAUCCGGAGGGUCCCUCGGGGCAAAGCGUGGGAGCGAGGGUCGCGGGGCCGAGCGGGAGGGAGGCGGCGAACAAUGGCCGGAACGCGCAGCCGGCGGUGACUCGACGUCGGAAGUCGGCCGGACAGCGUCGGGACGCGCGGCCCAGAUCUCCGCUACUUGGAAUCGCUCGGGGAUCCGACGUAUCUCGCUCUCCGAGAACCCGAAGACGAUCGGCGGGGAUUUUCCGCCGUCGGCUCGGAGUAUCCCGACGCUCCGCAGGUGGUCGUUGGAGAGGAAAAAGGGGAUCGUUUGUAGAAAUUGUUUUAAAAAAAAUUCGAGCCCUCCCCUCGGCGCCCACGUGGACGCUCCCCGCCCCGCCCGCGAGCGGAAUGCGCAGGGCCGACUCGGAAGCGGACGCGAGCGGUGACACCUGCUGGGCGGACCUUGGGGCAGGUCGUGCGCGCGGCCUAGGUCAGGGUCAAGGCCGCGGGCAUGGCGCCCGCCAACGUGCUGGACUGGUCGGAGCCCUGCCAGCGACUCCGAUACCCUAGGCUCUACCCUUCCGCGAAACUCGCCCCUCCCGCUCCCGACGCCGACGCCGGCGUCGCCAAGGGCGCCGACACCGCCUACAAGAAGAUCUGCAAGUUCCUCAGGGCGCUGCGCUCGCGGAAACGUGGUGCAAUGUACAAUGCAGGCAAGGAUGGCAGCAAAGUGACGACAGUGGUGGCCACUCCCGGAGCCGGUCCUGACCGUCCUCAAGAAGUCUCCUACACCGACACCAAGGUAAUCGGCAAUGGCAGCUUCGGGGUCGUCUACCAGGCCAAACUCUGCGACACUGGCGAGCUGGUCGCCAUCAAGAAGGUCCUCCAAGACAAGCGGUUCAAAAACAGGGAACUGCAGAUCAUGCGACGCCUCGAGCAUUGCAACAUCGUCAGACUCAAAUACUUCUUCUACUCCAGCGGUGAUCAGAAGGACGAGGUUUAUCUCAAUCUAGUCCUGGAAUACAUCCCCGAAACUGUGUACAAAGUUGCCCGACACUACAGCAAGAGCAAACAGACGAUACCGAUCAGCUUCAUCAAGCUGUACAUGUACCAGCUGUUCCGCUCGUUAUCGUACAUCCACUCGCUGGCGAUCUGCCACCGAGACAUCAAACCGCAGAACCUGCUUCUGGACCCGGAGACCGGCGUGCUCAAGCUCUGCGACUUCGGCUCGGCCAAACACCUUGUCAAAGGAGAGCCUAAUGUGUCUUACAUAUGCAGUCGUUAUUAUCGCGCGCCCGAGCUGAUAUUCGGUGCUAUCGAUUAUACCACGAAGAUCGACGUGUGGAGCGCAGGUUGCGUCCUGGCGGAGCUUCUCCUCGGGCAGCCGAUCUUCCCGGGCGACAGCGGCGUCGACCAGCUGGUGGAGAUCAUCAAGGUCCUGGGCACGCCGACCCGCGACCAGAUCCGCGAGAUGAACCCGAACUACACCGAGUUCAAGUUCCCGCAGAUCAAGUCGCACCCCUGGCAAAAGGUGUUCAGGGCACGCACGCCCCCCGAGGCGAUGGACCUGGUGGCCCGGCUGUUGGAGUACACGCCCUCCCUGCGAAUAGCGCCUCUUCAGGCUUGCGCCAGCCCCUUCUUCGACGAGCUCCGGGAGCCGGGGACCCGGUUGCCGAACAACCGGGAGCUGCCGCCGUUGUUCAACUUCACCGAGCAGGAGCGACGGGUCUCCCCGGGUCUGAUAUCCCGGCUGAUCCCGAAGCACGUCAAGAGCACCGAGAGCACCGGGGCCGGCCAGUCGGAGGCGACGAGCGCGGCCGCGGGCGCCAGCGGCAACUCCAACGACAGCGCCGUCAGCACGACCACCCCCACCACCACGCAGAACGCGGACCCCAGCCAGUCGACCAUGGCUUAAGCUUCUUUACUUUGUUAACGUCAUCGGAAGAGAGAAAGAGAGAGAGACCUCGAGGAGGCGGGAGAGGUUUCGAGCACUUGAACGGUUCUUUCGAAGAUCCACCGUGGACGUCCCGGAGUCUUCUGCCCGCAGAAGUCGAGAGGUACUCUUCAGGGUGCCGUUGAGGAUGACCCCCGAUAAAACGCGG